AGUGAACGCUGGCGGUAGGCCUAACACAUGCAAGUCGAACGGCAGCACAGUAAGAGCUUGCUCUUACGGGUGGCGAGUGGCGGACGGGUGAGGAAUACAUCGGAAUCUACUUUUUCGUGGGGGAUAACGUAGGGAAACUUACGCUAAUACCGCAUACGACCUACGGGUGAAAGCAGGGGAUCUUCGGACCUUGCGCGAUUGAAUGAGCCGAUGUCGGAUUAGCUAGUUGGCGGGGUAAAGGCCCACCAAGGCGACGAUCCGUAGCUGGUCUGAGAGGAUGAUCAGCCUCACGGGAACUGAGACACGGUCCAGACUCCUACGGGAGGCAGCAGUGGGGAAUAGUGGACAAUGGGCGCAAGCCUGAUCCAGCCAUACCGCGUGGGUGAAGAAGGCCUUCGGGUUGUAAAGCCCUUUUGUUGGGAAAGAAAAGCAGCAGGUUAAUACCCCGCUGUUCUGACGGUACCCAAAGAAUAAGCACCGGCUAACUUCGUG
This 492-nucleotide ribosomal RNA is filed under the name uncultured bacterium. RNAcentral describes it as "partial 16S ribosomal RNA". It matches the Rfam family "Bacterial small subunit ribosomal RNA", at positions 29 to 507 of the family's 1533-position model. The record is from RNAcentral.